UAAAUUUUAAUAACUUUCUUAAACUAUCCUGGGUUGGUACCAAACUUGGACAGAAGCUUGUUUAUGAUCAAAAGCUAGUAUCUAGAAGAAAUUUUGUAAAAAAAUAAAUCUAUUUUUUUGUAUUUUACUUUUAAAAUGACUUAGAUUUGCUGCGAAACAACACAUUCACUCUGUGGUUUAACUUUUUAGAAUUUUAAUAACUUUCUUAUACUAUUUUGGAUUUGUACCCAGCUUGGAAAGAAGCUUGUUUAUGAUCAAAAGCUAGUAUCUAGAAGGAAAUUUUGUUUUCUUCUAGUUAACAUUACAUUCAGUGUGCAGUUAAAUAUUUUAAACAUUUAUUACAUAAACUAUCCUGGAUUUUUACCAAACUUGGACAGAAGCUUCUUACAAUCAAAAGAUAGUAUCAACAGGAAUAUUUUAUUGAUUUGUUUCCUCAUUUUUGUUGAGCUCGCGAUUAACAGAAAGAGUAGGCGAGACACUGGGUUCCGCGGAACCCUUACGAAUUUUUU
This 509-nucleotide long non-coding RNA is filed under the name Mytilus galloprovincialis (Mediterranean mussel). Lineage: Eukaryota; Metazoa; Mollusca; Bivalvia; Mytilida; Mytilidae. The record is from RNAcentral.